RNAcentral lists this ribosomal RNA (600 nucleotides) under uncultured Acidobacteriota bacterium. RNAcentral describes it as "SSU rRNA". It matches the Rfam family "Bacterial small subunit ribosomal RNA", at positions 242 to 833 of the family's 1533-position model. Lineage: Bacteria; Pseudomonadati; Acidobacteriota. The record is from RNAcentral.
CAGCUAGUUGGUGGGGUAAUGGCUCACCAAGGCAACGAUCAGUAUCCGGCCUGAGAGGGCGGACGGACACACUGGGACUGAGACACGGCCCAGACUCCUACGGGAGGCAGCAGUGGGGAAUUGUUCGCAAUGGGCGCAAGCCUGACGACGCAACGCCGCGUGGAGGAUGAAGACCUUCGGGUCGUAAACUCCUUUCGAUCGAGACGAAUGGUUUUCGGGUGAAUAAUCCGGAAAAGUGACGGUACCGAGAGAAGAAGCCCCGGCUAACUCCGUGCCAGCAGCCGCGGUAAUACGGGGGGGGCAAGCGUUGUUCGGAAUUACUGGGCGUAAAGGGCUCGUAGGUGGCCAACUAAGUCAGACGUGAAAUCCCUCAGCUUAACUGGGGAACUGCGUCUGAUACUGGAUGGCUUGAGUUUGGGAGAGGGAUGCGGAAUUCCAGGUGUAGCGGUGAAAUGCGUAGAUAUCUGGAGGAACACCGGUGGCGAAGGCGGCAUCCUGGACCAACACUGACACUGAGGAGCGAAAGCCAGGGGAGCAAACGGGAUUAGAUACCCCGGUAGUCCUGGCCCUAAACGAUGAAUGCUUGGUGUGGCGGGUAUC